Molecule: transfer RNA, 72 nt
Filed under: Marmota monax (woodchuck)
Lineage: Eukaryota; Metazoa; Chordata; Mammalia; Rodentia; Sciuridae
Rfam family: tRNA
About the family: Transfer RNA (tRNA) molecules are approximately 80 nucleotides in length. Their secondary structure includes four short double-helical elements and three loops (D, anti-codon, and T loops).
Source: Rfam by way of RNAcentral
UGUGCUGUAGCUCAAUGGUAGAGUGCUUCCCUCACACAUAUGAGGCACUAAGUUUGAUCCUUAGUACCACAU